Molecule: long non-coding RNA, 406 nt
Filed under: Hordeum vulgare
Lineage: Eukaryota; Viridiplantae; Streptophyta; Magnoliopsida; Poales; Poaceae
Description: long non-coding RNA (HVUL_LNC017721)
Source: RNAcentral
CUGACUCGCGUGGAUGUGGAAUGCAGGUUUCAGCUCGGUGUUCGAGGCGUGCUGCGGGUCGGGGGGAGGCAAGUACAACUACGCCAACAGCGCGAGGUGCGGCAUGUCCGGCGCCUCCGCAUGCGCCAGCCCGGCGUCGCACCUCAGCUGGGACGGCAUCCACCUCACCGAGGCCGCAUACAAGCAGAUCACCGACGGAUGGCUCAACGGCGCCUUCUGCCACCCCGCCAUCACCCACUAGCCACCCCACCUCAGUCCGUGCAUGCAUGCAUGGGCGCAUCAAAAACCUCAUCGUCGUCGUCGUCCAUGAAUCCAUAAUCAAUCAAUCAAUCAACCGAUCGAUUAUCAUUAUAUUAUUAUUAUAAUUAUUAUUAUUUGUUCAGUCGGGUUAACUAUCAUAACGUGU